GGCUAAACUAGGAGAUGUGUAGCGUGCGACGUAGUGAGCAUUUGCCAAAAACGCAGCGCACGACAAAUUUUAGUUUCUCCACUAUCCGAGAAAUUUGUUUACCACUGCUACAAGAUUUGGCGCACGUUACAGUGGUAGGGUAGCUAAACAGUGUUUUGGCGGGAACGUGGUCGUCUGCAUUCCGGCUCCGGAGACCACAGUAUACACACUUUACCUCACACGUUUGACGCAAAGAUAAAGCAUAAUGGGAUUUAGAUAAUGGAAAAGAGCACGCCGGUCGGUGAAGGGAUUUUUUCCCCUAGUCCUCCCCCCACCGUAGAAUGUGACCUCCUCUCUUUCCACUCUUCCUCUGGCGACCUUUUUGCUUUUCUUGUAGACAAGCUUGCUACUCGCCUGUUACUUCUUUUAUUAUUCAUUGGAAUGCUCUGACUGAGCUUGUCUUUCUAUUUUCAUAAAAUAUUUCAUGAAAAAGAAGCAGCGCAAUUAGAAGGCUAAAUCCAACCUCUAAAAGGGGGGGUCUGUCCCGUCCUACCUGCUGAAGGUUACCCAGAAUCCCGAACGUUAAUAAAAUCCUGUUUCUCGGUUCUAAAAUCAAGACGAUUUUCGGUUCCCGUAUUACCCCUUAUCUUAGUUUGAAAGCUUCUUGGGUCUAGGACAAACGCCGUUCUUUUCAUAUGCCGUUCCAAAUGCAAAUUAACAUAGAAAAUCGAAUGGGUUUAUUCUCGUGCAUUUACAUUUAAAACGGUACAUAAAAAGAACGCCGUCUAAAUUAGGUCUUAUUUUUCAAAGAAUGCAUUCCUAGCCUCAUUCAUGACCUAGAGGUGGUUAUUAAAAGCAGCUCUGGUACCUGCGACUAUUUAUUUUCAUAUAACAUGUGCGGGAACUAGAAACCUGCAAUACAAUGCAGUGACGUAGCAACCCCGAUUAGACUGUUUGUCGUACCUGUAGCAAUUGUGGAUUAAUGGCCCCGCCAAGUCACGUCCUGUCGAUUUACUAUGACGUCACUCAAAUGAAGGUCGUUUGGGAACGACCAUUUGAUAUAAGUGUUAUAAGGGACAUCUUAGGAGGUGUAAUACUAAUUC
Molecule: long non-coding RNA, 1082 nt
Organism: Nematostella vectensis (starlet sea anemone)
Lineage: Eukaryota; Metazoa; Cnidaria; Anthozoa; Actiniaria; Edwardsiidae
Exons: 2
Source: RefSeq, a predicted model, not a curated record